RNAcentral lists this ribosomal RNA (492 nucleotides) under uncultured bacterium. RNAcentral's name for it is "partial 16S ribosomal RNA". It matches the Rfam family "Bacterial small subunit ribosomal RNA", at positions 29 to 507 of the family's 1533-position model. The record is from RNAcentral.
AGUGAACGCUGGCGGUAGGCCUAACACAUGCAAGUCGAACGGCAGCACAGUAAGCGCUUGCUCGUACGGGUGCCGAGUGGCGGAUGGUAGAUGAAUACAUCGGCAGCUGCGUGUGCGUGGUGGGCGACGUAGGGAAUAUUACGCUAAACCCGCUGACGGCCUAAGGGGGAAAGCUGCGGAUCUUCGGAUCUUGCGCCAUUCAAUGGGCCGAUGUCGGAUUAGCUAGUUGGUGGGGUAAAGGCCCACCAAGGCGACGAUCCGUAGCUGGUCUGAGAGGAUGAUCAGCCACACUGGAACUGAGACACGGUCCAGACUCCUACGGGAGGCAGCAGUGGGGAAUAUUGGACAAUGGGCGCAAGCCUGAUCCAGCCAUACCGCGUGGGUGAAGAAGGCCUUCGGGUUGUAAAGCACUUUUGUUGGGAAAGAAAAGCAGCAGGUUAAUACCACGCUGUUCUGACGGUACCCAAAGAAUAAGCACCGGCUAACUUCGUG